RNAcentral lists this ribosomal RNA (468 nucleotides) under uncultured bacterium. Its description in RNAcentral is "partial 16S ribosomal RNA". It matches the Rfam family "Bacterial small subunit ribosomal RNA", at positions 28 to 507 of the family's 1533-position model. The record is from RNAcentral.
GAUGAACGCUGGCGGCGUGCUUAACACAUGCAAGUCGAACGGAAAGGCCCAAGCUUGCUUGGGUACUCGAGUGGCGAACGGGUGAGUAACACGUGGGUGAUCUGCCCUGCACUUCGGGAUAAGCCUGGGAAACUGGGUCUAAUACCGGAUAGGACGAUGGUUUGGAUGCCAUUGUGGAAAGUUUUUUCGGUGUGGGAUGAGCUCGCGGCCUAUCAGCUUGUUGGUGGGGUAAUGGCCUACCAAGGCGUCGACGGGUAGCCGGCCUGAGAGGGUGUACGGCCACAUUGGGACUGCGCUACGGCCCAGACUCCUACGGGCGGCAGCAAUGGGGAAUAUUGCACAAUGGGCGCAAGCCUGAUGCAGCGACGCCGCGUGGGGGAUGACGGCCUUCGGGUUGUAAACUCCUUUCGCUAGGGACGAAGCGUUUUUGUGACGGUACCUGGAGAAGAAGCACCGGCUAACUACGUG